UACGAAGGGGGCUAGCGUUGCUCGGAAUUACUGGGCGUAAAGGGCGCGUAGGCGGAUAUUUAAGUUGGGGGUGAAAUCCCGGGGCUCAACCUCGGAAUUGCCUUCAAAACUGGAUAUCUUGAGUUCGGGAGAGGUGAGUGGAACUCCGAGUGUAGAGGUGAAAUUCGUAGAUAUUCGGAAGAACACCAGUGGCGAAGGCGACUACCUGGCCUGUUCUUGACGCUGAGGCGCGAAAGCUAGGGGAGCAAACGGG
This 253-nucleotide ribosomal RNA is filed under the name uncultured bacterium. RNAcentral describes it as "partial 16S ribosomal RNA". It matches the Rfam family "Bacterial small subunit ribosomal RNA", at positions 524 to 776 of the family's 1533-position model. The record is from RNAcentral.